AAGAAAGUGGCAGAGUGGUUAUGCGACCGGCUUGAAACCGGUGUAUGGGGGUUCAAUUCCUCCUUUUCUCG
This 71-nucleotide transfer RNA is filed under the name Bathytroctes breviceps. RNAcentral describes it as "tRNA-Ser (UCN)". It matches the Rfam family "tRNA". Rfam says of the family: Transfer RNA (tRNA) molecules are approximately 80 nucleotides in length. The record is from RNAcentral. Lineage: Eukaryota; Metazoa; Chordata; Actinopteri; Alepocephaliformes; Alepocephalidae.